Molecule: unclassified non-coding RNA, 142 nt
Filed under: uncultured Preussia
Lineage: Eukaryota; Fungi; Ascomycota; Dothideomycetes; Pleosporales; Sporormiaceae
Description: sequence contains ITS1
Source: RNAcentral
UCGUUGGGCUUCGGCCCAUUCGAGAUAACACCCUUGCCUUUUUGAGUACCUUUUCGUUUCCUCGGCAGGCUCGCCUGCCAACGGGGACCCUUCAAAACGCUUUGUAAUACCUGUAAUUGUCUGAUAUAACAAGCAAAAAUCA